RNAcentral lists this ribosomal RNA (568 nucleotides) under Scaphiophryne marmorata (marbled rain frog). RNAcentral describes it as "partial 16S ribosomal RNA". It matches the Rfam family "Bacterial large subunit ribosomal RNA", at positions 1834 to 2616 of the family's 2925-position model. Lineage: Eukaryota; Metazoa; Chordata; Amphibia; Anura; Microhylidae. The record is from RNAcentral.
CGAAAUAACUAUAGGAGGUCCAGCCUGCCCAGUGACAAAGUUAAACGGCCGCGGUACCCUAACCGUGCGAAGGUAGCGCAAUCACUUGUUCUUUAAAUGAGGACUAGUAUGAAUGGCAUCACGAGGGUUAUACUGUCUCCCUCUUUCAAUCAGUGAAACUGAUCUUCCCGUGAAGAAGCGGGAAUACAUCUAUAAGACGAGAAGACCCCAUGGAGCUUAAAACUCAGUAUCAACUACUAUACUAAUUUAUCCUCUUAAUUAAGCAGAUCUGACUACUAGUUUUCGGUUGGGGUGACCGCGGAGCAAAACAAAACCUCCACGAUGAAAGGAACUAACCUCCUAAUCAAAGAGCUACCUCUCUAAGAAUCAACAAAUUGACAUUUAUUGAUCCAACUUUUUUGAUCAACGAACCAAGUUACCCUGGGGAUAACAGCGCAAUCCAUUUCAAGAGCCCCUAUCGACAAAUGGGUUUACGACCUCGAUGUUGGAUCAGGGUAUCCCAGUGGUGCAGCCGCUACUAAAGGUUCGUUUGUUCAACGAUUAAAACCCUACGUGAUCUGAGUCAGAC